GUAAUAGGAAAUUAUAAUUUUGUUAAAGGUCCCAGUGGCAUGGUGCUCUUUUACUAAUUUCAUAUAGACCUUAGUGGUCCCCUAAUACUGUAUCUGAAGUCUCUUUUAUAUAGACCUU
This is a long non-coding RNA of Etheostoma spectabile (orangethroat darter), 118 nucleotides long. RefSeq lists it as uncharacterized. The record is from RefSeq and is a predicted model, not a curated record. Lineage: Eukaryota; Metazoa; Chordata; Actinopteri; Perciformes; Percidae. The transcript has 3 exons.